UUGAUAGCUAUUGUCAUUUCCAUUUUAUUUAAUUUUCGGUUGAAGUAAAAUGAUAAGAAAAUAAGUGUGUUAAAUUGCAAUUGAUAUUCAUUUUUCCUUUCCGCACUUGAUUUGGGUGCUUAAUGCCCACUGUUGAGGAUGAAUGAUGAUGAAAAUGAGAUUUUGGUCCGGAAGAAACUGUGUACAGAUUUGUCUGCAUUUUGUUUUCAAUUGCUCUGCAUUUUUUGAUGAAUUGUUGUGCAAGUUACUUCUGCAAAUUGUGCUGCAAUGCGUGCUAAAUUGGUCUGCAAUUUGUGCUCUGUUUGUCUGCAAUUUGUGCUGCAAUUGCUCUGCAUUUUACAGCUCCAAUACAAACUACAAACGGACUUAUAGGGCUUCAGAUUUAGAAGAAAAAGCAUAAACCUAGGUGAGAUUUACCUUUAAAGAAAGUGAAAGAAUUAUAAAUAAUAGAAAGCAAGUUAAUUAGAAGCACAAAAGCGGAUUUUGUGGACACCAAAAUAGUCCAGAAUCAGCAGCUUUAUUGCCUUCUAUA
RNAcentral lists this long non-coding RNA (532 nucleotides) under Citrus sinensis (sweet orange). Its description in RNAcentral is "long non-coding RNA (CSIN_LNC003739)". The record is from RNAcentral. Lineage: Eukaryota; Viridiplantae; Streptophyta; Magnoliopsida; Sapindales; Rutaceae.